This 468-nucleotide ribosomal RNA is filed under the name uncultured bacterium. RNAcentral's name for it is "partial 16S ribosomal RNA". It matches the Rfam family "Bacterial small subunit ribosomal RNA", at positions 28 to 507 of the family's 1533-position model. The record is from RNAcentral.
GACGAACGCUGGCGGCGUGCUUAACACAUGCAAGUCGAACGGAAAGGCCCUGCUUUUGUGGGGUGCUCGAGUGGCUAACGGGUGAGUAACACGUGAGUAACCUGCCCUUGACUUUGGGAUAACUUCAGGAAACUGGGGCUAAUACCGGAUAGGAGCUCCUGCUGCAUGGUGGGGGUUGGAAAGUUUCGGCGGUUGGGGAUGGACUCGCGGCUUAUCAGCUUGUUGGUGGGGUAGUGGCUUACCAAGGCUUUGACGGGUAGCCGGCCUGAGAGGGUGACCGGCCACAUUGGGACUGAGAUACGGCCCAGACUCCUACGGGAGGCAGCAGUGGGGAAUAUUGCACAAUGGGCGGAAGCCUGAUGCAGCAACGCCGCGGGCGGGAUGACGGCCUUCGGGUUGUAAACCGCUUUCGCCUGUGACGAAGCGUGAGUGACGGUAAUGGGUAAAGAAGCACCGGCUAACUACGUG